UAUGCCUUUGAAAUCACUAAGUCAUUUCAGUUUUUAUUCCAGGGUCAAAGCACUGACAUCUGCAUUAUUUAGAAGCGGCUUUCAAAACUUUUUUUGCCAUAACUCACAGUAAAAAAAAAUACAUUUUAUAUUGCAACUCAAGUCUAUAAAUUCUUUCAUUCCUUCAACAUAUUGAACACCUACUAUAUGCCAAAUAUAUUUUAUGUGGAAUACAGUAGUGAACGAAGUAAAAGAGGAAGAAAGGAAAGGAGGAAGAGAAAGAAAUAAACAAAAAUUCUUGCUCUCUAAGACUUUACAUACUAGUGGAACAGACAAUAGACAAAAUAAGUAAGCCAGAAUACAAAGUAAAAUAUAGGAACACACAGAAACAGAAUAUUCAUGAGGCAAAACCACCUAUUUCUAUAUGCAGUACACUCAGAUGUUUUUGAUUUUUUCGGAAAAAAUGCUGGUCAAUCCUGUUAAACCAUUAAGUUGGCUUCUCAACUCAGUAAUGGGUUGAGGCUUUUGCACUUUGAAAAACACUAGUCUAGACAAUUUCUGACAUGGGCAGAGCAUGUGCUUGUUCUCACCUUAUGGAGGGAGGAACAUACAAAGAUAUUAACUGAGUUCCUCAAAUUCACCCAUGAUCUGAGGGAAGCAAUGCUGACCUCCACCUGAGGGCUUCCCAGUCCACUGCUGCCCUUUCCCUCACCCUCUGCAGUGCCUGCUCUUCUCCUCUCAUUCUGAAACCUUGCUCUGCACGUGGAGCAGCUCUUCCUUCCCUUGUCAGGUAAAAAUCACAUGAAUACUUCUAAGCCUAGCCAGACCGCACUGCGUUCCAGGAUGCCUCUCUCAGGCCACUACUGCAUUCUGGCUCGCUUGAUUGAUUGAUUUAGAGACAGGGUCUCACUCUGUUGCCAAGUUGUGCAAUCAUGGCCCACUGCAGCCUCAACCUCCCAGGCUCAAGCAAUCCUCCCACCUCAGCCUCCCGAGUGGCUGGGACUCUAUGCAUGCACCAGCACACCUAGCCAAUCUUUUUUUUUUUUUUUUAAUUUUUUAGUAGAGACAGGGGUCUCACUAUGUUGCCUAGGCUGUGGCUUGCUUUAUAACUAUUGGUGUACCAGAAUAGGAUCCUCUGCACGGUGACCUCCUAAAAGAGCAGGUACCAGUCACCUUUGUGUCCCCCAAAGCACAGUACUUUAUCUGUAGGUAUUAAUAAAUACAUAGGAAAUUGAAUUGAAUUUGUAACUCAAAGCAGAGGGGUGGAGAGAAGUGCUUCCUAGCCAGGAAUACAGGAUUUAGGCCAUAUCUAUUUAAAAGAAGACUAACAAACAGACUAGAAACGAUAACACUGGUAAAAAGAUCUCUUUACCUGAGCUACAAAAGUCAUACAUUAGGUAGAGGCUUCAAUAGUGUAGAAAAUAUACUAAUGUGUUAUCUCCUUAGAGACAGAUUUAGAACCAUGUCAGUUAUGUUGCAGAUGACAGAGAACAGAAACCUAGUGAAAUCAACUCAAGACAAUGAGGGCUACCAUAAGGAGGCCCAAGGAGUAGUUGGAUGGACCUGAGGAAGGACAGGAGCCAGAGGCCCCCUGAGGAGCUCUGCGCCGCAGAAGUAAGGCUAUCCUCGCUGCAAUGGUGACCAUUACAAUGGGGACAGUUGCCACCUCAUCAAAAUGAAGGAAAUCAGUUCAAAUUCUAAAAAAAACCUACAUGGCACAGCCAAUUCUAGAAUUGUCCACUCUUGCUUCACUUGGUUUGAGUAGGAUGGGGCUGUGUGUUUGAAAACAUCUAAGGAAGAAAGGGGGGAACAAACUCUCUGAAAAGAAAGUAGAACUUUCACUAAAUAUUGACCCAAACUGGAAUUUUCAGUUUUACGCUACCACCAGAGAGGAUGGGACUCAAGGCCAAGAUAAGGUCAGUUACAAAAAGUUAUAUAAAAUACUGUAUCUGUGAUACAGUGUAAAAUAUCAUUUCAAUCCUAUUAAAAGUUAAAAAAAAUGUAGAUUUUAGCUAAAUGACCUCUAAGUUUCAGGGAUCUACAAACCCAUGCGUGUAUAAAUAUAUCACGAAAAUCUGUACAAGAUAUUUCAUAGAAUUCUCUAUCUCAUGGUUUUCAGACUUUAUUUUGAAUCAGAUUCUAAUUCUGUAGGACUAGGGUAGGGUAGUGGGACUGCAUACUUAAAUAAGCACCCCAGAUACUGCUAAAGAUGGGUCAUGUUGAGAGACUUUCUUAACCUAAUCCCUUCCUACUUAAUUAAAAAGGAGCUCGACUUGCAUAAGUUUUCUUUUUCUUUUUUUCUUUGAGACAAAGACUCACUGUCACCCAGGCUGGAGUGCAG
Molecule: long non-coding RNA, 2320 nt
Filed under: Homo sapiens (human)
Lineage: Eukaryota; Metazoa; Chordata; Mammalia; Primates; Hominidae
Description: HSALNT0154152
Source: RNAcentral